UACGAGGGGUGCAAGCGUUAAUCGGAAUUACUGGGCGUAAAGCGUGCGUAGGCGGUUUGUUAAGCAAGAUGUGAAAGCCCCGGGCUCAACCUGGGAACUGCAUUUUGAACUGGCAGGCUAGAGUACUGUAGAGGGUGGUGGAAUUUCCAGUGUAGCGGUGAAAUGCGUAGAGAUUGGAAGGAACAUCAGUGGCGAAGGCGGCCACCUGGACAGAUACUGACGCUGAGGCACGAAAGCGUGGGGAGCAAACAGG
Molecule: ribosomal RNA, 253 nt
Filed under: uncultured bacterium
Lineage: Bacteria
Description: partial 16S ribosomal RNA
Rfam family: Bacterial small subunit ribosomal RNA
Source: RNAcentral